Molecule: signal recognition particle RNA, 93 nt
Filed under: Sneathiellales bacterium
Lineage: Bacteria; Pseudomonadati; Pseudomonadota; Alphaproteobacteria; Sneathiellales
Description: signal recognition particle sRNA small type
Rfam family: Bacterial small signal recognition particle RNA
About the family: The signal recognition particle (SRP) is a universally conserved ribonucleoprotein involved in the co-translational targeting of proteins to membranes. Archaeal SRP consists of a 7S RNA and homologues of the eukaryotic SRP19 and SRP54 proteins. In most bacteria, the SRP consists of a 4.5S RNA and the Ffh protein (a homologue of the eukaryotic SRP54 protein).
Source: RNAcentral
AGGUCGGUUGCGGACGAACGCCUCGCCAACCCGGUCAGAUCUGGAAGGAAGCAGCCGUAACGAGAUUUGCUUCGGGUCGCGUACCGGUCUCCC